Molecule: ribosomal RNA, 385 nt
Filed under: Fictibacillus barbaricus
Lineage: Bacteria; Bacillati; Bacillota; Bacilli; Caryophanales; Fictibacillaceae
Description: bacterial SSU rRNA
Rfam family: Bacterial small subunit ribosomal RNA
Source: RNAcentral
GGUGAGUAACACGUGGGUAAUCUACCUGUAAGACGGGGAUAACUCCGGGAAACCGGGGCUAAUACCGGAUAACAAGAGGAAAUGCAUAUUUCCUUUUUGAAAGUCGGCAUCUCGCUGACACUUACAGAUGAGCCCGCGGCGCAUUAGCUAGUUGGUGAGGUAAUGGCUCACCAAGGCGACGAUGCGUAGCCGACCUGAGAGGGUGAUCGGCCACACUGGGACUGAGACACGGCCCAGACUCCUACGGGAGGCAGCAGUAGGGAAUCUUCGGCAAUGGGCGAAAGCCUGACCGAGCAACGCCGCGUGAGCGAUGAAGGCCUUCGGGUCGUAAAGCUCUGUUGUUAGAGAAGAACAAGUACGAGAGUAACUGCUCGUACCUUGACGG